Molecule: ribosomal RNA, 216 nt
Filed under: uncultured bacterium
Lineage: Bacteria
Description: partial 16S ribosomal RNA
Rfam family: Bacterial small subunit ribosomal RNA
Source: RNAcentral
GGAUACAACGGGAAACUUGUGCUAAUACCCGGGUAAGCCCUUACGGGGAAAGAUUUAUCGCCGAAGGGAUCGGCCCGCGUCUGCAUUAGCUAGUUGGUGGGGUAACGGCCCACCAAGGCGACGAUCAGUAGCUGGUCUGAGAGGCCUGAUCAGCCACACUGGGACUGAGACACGGCCAGACUCCUACGGGAGGCAGCAGGUUAAGGAAUCUUGGAC